UACGUAGGUGGCAAGCGUUGUCCGGAAUCAUUGGGCGUAAAGAGCGCGCAGGCGGCUUGGCAAGUCGGGUGUGAAAUCCCGGGGCUCAACCCCGGGACUGCAUUCGAUACUGUCAGGCUAGAGGUAGGUAGGGGAGAUCGGAAUUCCUGGUGUAGCGGUGAAAUGCGCAGAUAUCAGGAGGAACACCGGUGGCGAAGGCGGAUCUCUGGGCCUUACCUGACGCUCAGGCGCGAAAGCUAGGGGAGCGAACAGG
Molecule: ribosomal RNA, 253 nt
Filed under: uncultured bacterium
Lineage: Bacteria
Description: partial 16S ribosomal RNA
Rfam family: Bacterial small subunit ribosomal RNA
Source: RNAcentral